GGUGGAAUGCGCAGAUAUCAGGAGGAACACCGAUGGCGAAGGCAGAUCUUGGGCGUAACUGACGCUGAGGAGCGAAAGGGUGGGGAGCAAACAGGCUUAGAUACCCUGGUAGUCCACCCUGUAAACGUUGGGAACUAGUUGUGGGGUCCUUUCCACGGAUUCCGUGACGCAGCUAACGCAUUAAGUUCCCCGCCUGGGGAGUACGGCCGCAAGGCUAAAACUCAAAGGAAUUGACGGGGACCCGCACAAGCGGCGGAGCAUGCGGAUUAAUUCGAUGCAACGCGAAGAACCUUACCAAGGCUUGACAUAUACGAGAACGCUGCAGAAAUGUAGUUCUCUUUGGACACUCGUAUACAGGUGGUGCAUGGUUGUCGUCAGCUCGUGUCGUGAGAUGUUGGGUUAAGUCCCGCAACGAGCGCAACCCUCGUUCUAUGUUGCCAGCACGUAAUGGUGGGAACUCAUGGGAUACUGCCGGGGUCAACUCGGAGGAAGGUGGGGAUGACGUCAAAUCAUCAUGCCCCUUAUGUCUUGGGCUUCACGCAUGCUACAAUGGCCGGUACAAAGGGCUGCAAUACCGCGAGGUGGAGCGAAUCCCAAAAAGCCGGUCCCAGUUCGGAUUGAGGUCUGCAACUCGACCUCAUGAAGUCGGAGUCGCUAGUAAUCGCAGAUCAGCAACGCUGCGGUGAAUACGUUCCCGGGUCUUGUACACACCGCCCGUCAAGUCAUGAAAGUCGGUAACAUCCUGAAGCCGGUGGCCCAAUCUACUGUGGAGGAGCCGUCGAGAGGAGAGAUGCGACCCUUCCC
RNAcentral lists this ribosomal RNA (804 nucleotides) under Microbacterium sp. WS_21Q. RNAcentral describes it as "bacterial SSU rRNA". It matches the Rfam family "Bacterial small subunit ribosomal RNA", at positions 680 to 1479 of the family's 1533-position model. Lineage: Bacteria; Bacillati; Actinomycetota; Actinomycetes; Micrococcales; Microbacteriaceae. The record is from RNAcentral.